GGGGUCGUAGCUCAGUUGGUUAGAGCGCUACGUUGACAUCGUAGAGGUCCCCAGUUCGAGCCUGGGCGACCCCACCA
Molecule: transfer RNA, 77 nt
Filed under: Chitinophagaceae bacterium
Lineage: Bacteria; Pseudomonadati; Bacteroidota; Chitinophagia; Chitinophagales; Chitinophagaceae
Description: tRNA-Val
Rfam family: tRNA
About the family: Transfer RNA (tRNA) molecules are approximately 80 nucleotides in length. Their secondary structure includes four short double-helical elements and three loops (D, anti-codon, and T loops). Further hydrogen bonds mediate the characteristic L-shaped molecular structure. tRNAs have two regions of fundamental functional importance: the anti-codon, which is responsible for specific mRNA codon recognition, and the 3' end, to which the tRNAs corresponding amino acid is attached (by aminoacyl-tRNA synthetases). tRNAs cope with the degeneracy of the genetic code in two manners: having more than one tRNA (with a specific anti-codon) for a particular amino acid; and 'wobble' base-pairing, i.e. permitting non-standard base-pairing at the 3rd anti-codon position.
Source: RNAcentral